RNAcentral lists this non-coding RNA (107 nucleotides) under Deinococcus hopiensis. Its description in RNAcentral is "SAM-I sequence". It matches the Rfam family "SAM riboswitch aptamer (S box leader)". Rfam says of the family: The SAM riboswitch is found upstream of a number of genes which code for proteins involved in methionine or cysteine biosynthesis in Gram-positive bacteria. Lineage: Bacteria; Thermotogati; Deinococcota; Deinococci; Deinococcales; Deinococcaceae. RNAcentral also lists the same sequence under 1 other name. The record is from RNAcentral.
UCCUUAUCCAGAGCGCCCGAGAGACCUGGCUCGCAGACGGCGCGGCAACCGGACCUCAUCACGUCACGGUGCCAAGGCCAGCCCACCGCCCCCAUCAACGAUGAUGG